AUUGACCGCUGGCGGCAGGCUUAACACAUGCAAGUCGAGCGAGUGGCGGACGGGUGAGGAAUGUCUGGGAAACUGCCCGAUGGAGGGGGAUCACUACUGGAAAAGGUAGCUAAUACCGCAUACCAUCGGAUGUGCCCAGAGGGGAUUAGCUAGUAGGUGGGGGAAAGGCCAACCUAGGCGACGAUCCCUAGCUGGUCUGAGAGGAUGACCAGCCACACUGGAACUGAGACACGGUCCAGACUCCUACGGGAGGCAGCAGUGGGGAAUAUUGCACAAUGGGCGCAAGCCUGAUGCAGCCAUGCCGCGUGUAUGAAGAAGGCCGUCGGGUUGUAAAGUACUUUCAGCGGGGAGGCGUUACCCGCAGAAGAAGCACCGGCUAACUCCGUGCCAGCAGCCGCGGUAAUAC
Molecule: ribosomal RNA, 406 nt
Filed under: uncultured bacterium
Lineage: Bacteria
Description: partial 16S ribosomal RNA
Rfam family: Bacterial small subunit ribosomal RNA
Source: RNAcentral